CUGGCGUCACCAGGACAACGGGCGUUGCCGGCGCCUUGUGACUCCGGGCUGUGGGCGCGCUCGCGGCUCUCCGGCCAUGGUUUUCUCAAAUAAUGAUGAAGGUCUUAUUAACAAAAAGCUACCCAAAGAACUUCUCUUAAGAAUAUUUUCCUUCUUGGAUAUAGUAACUUUGUGCCGAUGUGCACAGAUUUCCAAGGCUUGGAACAUCUUAGCCCUGGAUGGAAGCAACUGGCAACGAAUAGACCUUUUUAACUUUCAAACAGAUGUAGAGGGUCGAGUGGUGGAAAAUAUCUCAAAGCGAUGUGGUGGAUUCCUGAGGAAGCUCAGCUUGAGAGGCUGCAUUGGUGUCGGGGAUUCCUCCUUGAAGACCUUUGCACAGAACUGCCGAAACAUUGAACAUUUAAACCUCAAUGGGUGCACAAAAAUCACUGACAGCACGUGUUAUAGCCUUAGCAGAUUCUGUUCCAAGCUGAAGCAUCUGGAUCUGACCUCCUGUGUGUCCAUUACAAACAGCUCCUUAAAGGGGAUCAGUGAGGGCUGCCGAAACCUGGAGUACCUGAACCUCUCUUGGUGUGAUCAGAUCACGAAGGAUGGCAUCGAGGCACUGGUGCGAGGUUGUCGAGGCCUAAAAGCCCUGCUUCUGAGGGGCUGCACACAGUUGGAAGACGAAGCUCUGAAGCACAUUCAGAAUUACUGCCAUGAGCUUGUGAGCCUCAACUUACAGUCCUGCUCACGCAUUACGGAUGAAGGCGUGGUGCAGAUAUGCAGGGGAUGCCACCGGCUGCAGGCCCUCUGCCUUUCUGGCUGCAGCAACCUCACAGACGCCUCUCUCACAGCCCUGGCUUUGAACUGCCCAAGACUUCAGAUUUUGGAGGCUGCCCGAUGUUCCCAUUUGACUGACGCAGGCUUUACACUUUUAGCUCGGUUGGCCGGAAAACUCGGGAGGUCCUGUCGAGGGUUCUGUGGCAGGUGUAGCCUCACUCUCAUUGGUCAGAAUUGCCAUGACCUGGAAAAGAUGGAUCUUGAGGAAUGCAUUCUGAUAACCGACAGCACACUCAUCCAGCUUUCCAUUCACUGUCCUAAACUCCAAGCCCUGAGUCUGUCCCACUGUGAGCUCAUCACAGAUGAUGGGAUUCUGCACCUGAGCAACAGCACCUGUGGCCAUGAGAGGCUGCGGGUACUCGAAUUGGACAACUGCCUCCUCAUCACUGAUGUGGCCCUGGAACACCUAGAGAACUGCCGCGGCCUGGAGCGCCUUGAGCUCUAUGACUGCCAGCAGGUUACCCGUGCAGGCAUCAAGCGGAUGCGGGCUCAGCUCCCUCAUGUCAAAGUCCAUGCCUACUUCGCCCCUGUCACCCCACCGACAGCAGUGGGAGGAGGUGGACAGCGACUGUGCAGGUGCUGUGUCAUUCUCUGACAGCAGCUGCCUGGGCCCAAGGCAUGAUGAGGUGUCCCUUCCUCCAGAGAAGACCUGAGUCUUCCUGACCUACACCACUGUCACCCACAUCUGUUGAUUCUCCAUUGGGAAAGGCAUUUACAGGUUUCCAAGAGGAGCUCUAACCACCCCCAGAAGUAUCUUAACCAAACCAAAUGCAGCCCGGGGCAGCAAACAAGCACACUAGGAAGAUGUGAAAUCCCAGGCCAGUGAACUGCUGAUGUUUUGCAUACUUUAGACUUAAGAAUCAUUAAUAAUUUACCAACAUUUCUACCAUCUUCAGAGUAGCUUUGGGCUGUAACAGAUUUAUGAAUUAUCAGAACUCGCUCCUUUUAAUUAGUUGGUUAACAAGAGAAGAAAAGUGAUUUAUCAGUCUCCCCAAAAAAGUUUACUAAGAACCAUUUGUGAGUCUUCAGCUGGGAAAUCAGAAGAGAAAUAAAAACAUAAAAUUGAGGGGCAGGCAUUUUGGGGAAGGAGUAUACAGUUGUUCCAUACAACCUUGAUUUCAGUCCAAAAAGCCCAGUUAAAGAAAAUGCAACAUGUGUGCUCCCCAUUCACUCAGAUGAGUAUCUUUUCAGUUUUAUGCAUAAAGAAGCAUUAACAAUAUUUUCAAUCAAUGCUUUAAUUUGGAAAUGAGGUUCCUGUGAUAGUACUUCUGAGUUUCACAGUCUACAGAUAAUUACAGAUACAUGUAUAAGAGUGAAAAUUCCAUUUCUGUCACCUUGAUAGGACAAACACUUCAAUGAUGAAUAGAGUAGCCAUUAAUACAUAUGAUGACAGUUAUUUAAAAAAAUUAUUUAAUGCUCUGUCUUUACAUUUACCGCAGGUAUAUAGCUGAUCUAAGUUUAUAUAACAGGAUCAUCCUUUGUGGAUUGUUAGAUGAAAAGUUGUGUCAUAAAAUAAAGAUUUGCUACACCUAGGCUGACAAAGCUCAUAUUCAACCAAAAACCCCGUUAAGUGCAGGUUGGGGGAACCAGGUGAGAGUGUAGCAAGCUGCACUAUUCUGGCCUGAAGCAUAAGGUCACAAUGCAGGUGCCAAGAGGAAACACUAACACCGUCAAAGAUUUUCUUCCUACUAGUGCUGCCAAACAGGCUUUUAAAAGCACAGACAGACACACAUUCUUAUACUACAUGCAGGGAAGUGUGACACAAAGUAUACUGCAUACAUUAAUGUCAUGCUUGCUGCCAUCAUUUCUUGAAAUAGCCAUGAAAUUUUCUUAUCAGUUAUACACAUGAGAAAGCAAAACCUUUUUUAAUUACACAAAAAUGAUAAUUAUUUUACUAAAGAAAGUAUUUCAAUUAAUUUCAGUGCUCGUGAAGGAAGUGUGUGUACGAAGGAGGGAGAGGGAGGGAGGAAGGGAAGGAGACAGAGAGGGAACAUAUUUCUCAGUGUCGUUUUUCCCUCCAAAACCACCCAAUAUGGUCAACUUUGUUUUAAAGUGUUAGAUUUAGGAAAUUUUCCUCAGUGAGGAACAAACAGAAAGCAGGAAGUCUAAACAAAAGCAAAUUAAAUCAAGACAAGGACAUCCGAAACAAAUUUGGCUUUACUUUUCGGUGGAAGUUGGUCCUAUAUCUAACACUGCACAAGGUUUCUUGCACAAUGAAAAGAGAAGCAGAAGUC
Equus quagga is the source of this 3056-nucleotide RNA transcript. It is a transcript of the gene named F-box and leucine rich repeat protein 2, with no coding region annotated. NCBI's taxonomy places the organism in Eukaryota, Metazoa, Chordata, Mammalia, Perissodactyla, Equidae. The record is from RefSeq and is a predicted model, not a curated record. The transcript has 17 exons.